This 21-nucleotide non-coding RNA is filed under the name Caenorhabditis elegans. Lineage: Eukaryota; Metazoa; Nematoda; Chromadorea; Rhabditida; Rhabditidae. The record is from RNAcentral.
UCAUUGCUGUGCAGAUUCCUU